CUGUACACAACUGCGUCAAAACUUCCAUCGAAAGAGUUCGCAAGGACUAGUGCUUUGUCUAGUAAGCGGAGAUACAUGUGGCCGAUUUGUCCCAGACUGACAUUCGAUGGUGUUGCAAUGUGCAAAUGUCUUAGGGCUGAUUUGCCGGAACACACCCGGAGAUUCGUUGAUGAGUUAAUGCAGUUCUACAGCAACACCAUGGCAGAAUGCUGG
RNAcentral lists this long non-coding RNA (213 nucleotides) under Setaria italica (foxtail millet). Its description in RNAcentral is "long non-coding RNA (SITA_LNC004574)". Lineage: Eukaryota; Viridiplantae; Streptophyta; Magnoliopsida; Poales; Poaceae. The record is from RNAcentral.